AACGAACGCUGGCGGCAUGCCUAACACAUGCAAGUCGAACGAGACCUUCGGGUCUAGUGGCGCACGGGUGCGUAACGCGUGGGAACCUGCCCUUAGGUUCGGAAUAACUCCCCGAAAGGGGUGCUAAUACCGGAUAAUGUCUUCGGACCAAAGAUUUAUCGCCUUUGGAUGGGCCCGCGUUGGAUUAGCUAGUUGGUAGGGUAAAAGCCUACCAAGGCGACGAUCCAUAGCUGGUCUGAGAGGAUGAUCAGCCACACUGGGACUGAGACACGGCCCAGACUCCUACGGGAGGCAGCAGUGGGGAAUAUGGGACAAUGGGCGAAAGCCUGAUCCAGCAAUGCCGCGUGAGUGAUGAAGGCCUUAGGGUUGUAAAGCUCUUGUACCCGGGAUGAUAAUGACAGUACCGGGAGAAUAAGCUCCGGCUAACUCCGUG
RNAcentral lists this ribosomal RNA (433 nucleotides) under uncultured bacterium. Its description in RNAcentral is "partial 16S ribosomal RNA". It matches the Rfam family "Bacterial small subunit ribosomal RNA", at positions 29 to 507 of the family's 1533-position model. The record is from RNAcentral.